GACCACUGUAUGCGAUGAGGCAAAGAAAAUUUUGUACGCGCACAUGCACCUACGCACGCAGGCAUACUCACACACGGUCACUUUUUUAGGCAUAUCUUCAAAUUGCCCUACCACGGAGAGUCCGGCCGCCCAACACGCAUAAAUCCGACACAAAUACAGGCGUAGGCUCUUGUGUGCUCCACCACGCUUGCAUACUUGCGAUAAAGAGAUAACGGGCAAGGCAAACAUUCUUAUCCGAUGACGGACGAGCGCGACGGUGGUGUUGUGCAGGCCUUUCUGGCCCUUGGCGCCGACUCCAGCCAAUGCUUUCGCAUGUUUUCCAGAGGCUCCAACCCGGGAUGUUACGUGCUGGGCUGGUGGGCCACCCUCGUCGCGAAAGAGUACAUCAAGUCCACUGCCGUGCUGAAGAAGUGGUCGAGCGGCAACUCGUCCUCCGCCAUGGUGGACGUUGUUGUUGUGAAUGACGCACUCUGCAAGGAGAUCAUCCGCGAUUGCUUGCUGCGCCGUGGGGUGUCGGUGGAGUACUACGAGCGAGAGACGGCCGGCGGGUCGUACGUGUGCCGCCAGCGCGGCUCGCCAGGGAAUAUCACCGACUUUGAGGCAUCGCUCUUCGAGGUUGAGGAGGCGGAGAUUCAACUGCUGGCGAGCGGCUCCCUCGUGUUCGGUGCAACGCAGGACACGGGGACAGCGAUUGGCUUUGCGGCGCUGAAUAACACUCUGCGGCAGUUGACCUUUGCCGAGUACACGGACACGCCGCAGCUCACCAGCCUGGACGCGCUUGUCGCGCAGACGAACUUGAAGGAGCUUUUGUUGUGUGUGAUGUCACCCGCCGCGUCCGCUGGCGCCGAAGCCACCUUCAACGACGAUGACCGAAUCACUGCGGUGCGCCGUAUAUGUGAGCGGUGCGGCGUUCAGCUGAGCGUGCGCUCGCUGCGCGAGAUUCAGCAGCUGCAGAAGGAGGAAGCCGCUGCAAAAGGCCUCGAGGCACUGGCAGAGAUCCUGCGAGUGCCAGAGGAGCGUCUGUCGCUAGAGCUCUGCCCGAUUGCGCGACAAGCCGUGGAGAACAUUCUCGGCCGCAUUGAUGUCAUGGACCCGUCGAAUCGGCGCGCCUUCUACCUGCGCCGCACCGUUCCGUCCACGUAUAUGAAGCUGGACAGCGCGGCGAUCGAGGCGCUGAACCUGGUGAGCAAGAAGCCGGAGCCGCGCGGCACCCUUCCGACGUCUGUGUUCUCGUGGCUGAACCGCUGUCACACUGGUAUGGGCGCGCGUGCGAUGCGGCAGUGGCUGCUGCAGCCGCUCCGCUGCGCCGACGAUAUCAACCAGCGCCUCACAAUGGUGGAACUCUUCGUGGAGAACCCCAUUCUACGCGACAUGUUCACGACCCAGGUGCUGAAGCGGUGCGGCGACAUGGAUCGACUUAACCGCAAACUGCAGCGUCGCAGCCUCGCCCUGAAGGACACGCAGGCGUUCCUGGAAUUUGUGAAUGUCGUCCCUGCUGCUCUACAGGUUCUGGGCACCUACACAGGCCCGCAGUCGAAGCUCUUGAAAGAUGAGUACAUUGCCCCGAUGGAGGAUAUCAACGACCAUAUGGCGAACCUGAAGACGCUGAUCGAGGCAACGGUGGACUUCAGUGACCGCAAUGCGGUCCGCAUGAACGCCGCGUUCGACGACGAGCUUCAGGCCCUGCAUGAGCAGCUCACGAGCACGCAGCGGCAGAUCGACAAGGAGUACGGCCGCGUCCUGAGCAAGUACGGGUGGAAUGAGAAGCAGCUCAAGCACGAGUACCACGGUACGUAUGGCUACGUCUUUCGUGUCUCUCGCAAGGAGGAUCGCCAGCUGCGCAGCACAAAGGAACUUAUCACGGUAAGCACGUCCAAGGACGGCGUACGGUUUGUGUCAGAGAAGAUGGCGGCCCUCAGCGAGCAGUACCGGCGCAUCAGCGACGACUACGAGACACGGCAGAUGGACCUCAAGCGCAAGCUUGUGGACACCAUCGCCUCCUACCUGCCCGUGCUCGACGACGCCAAGGAGCUGAUAGCGACCCUGGACGUCUUCGUGGCCUGGGCUCUCGUGGUGAAGGAUUGCCCGCGCCCCAUGGUGCGGCCAGCUGUACGCGAGGCCCCUGGCACUGUGGCGUUGGUGAAGCAGGAGGGAACAAGCGCACGCGGCGCAGACGCAGCGCCGCUCCUCUCCUUCAAGCGGCUCCGUCAUCCUUUGGUCGAGCUUCGCCAGCCGGGCUACAAGGCCAACCCUCUCCAUCUCACCACGCAAACAAACGGACUGCUCAUUACCGGACCCAACAUGGGCGGCAAGUCCACGUACAUGCGCAGCGUCGGUAUCGCGGUGGUGCUAGCGCAAGCGGGCUGCUUUGUACCGGCCGAUGCGGCGGAGGUUCAGGUGCGCGACGCUGUCAUGUGCCGAGUCGGCGCGACCGAUCACUUGGCACAGGGCGUCUCUACGUUUAUGGUGGAGAUGCUCGAGUCUGCCUCGAUUCUCACAGGCGCGACGCAGGAUACCCUCGCCAUCAUCGACGAGCUCGGCCGCGGUACGUCCACGUACGACGGCUUCGGGUUGGCGUGGGCGAUUGCCCAGGACGUGGCGGUGCGUGUUCGCGCGACCCUGUUGUUCUCCACACAUUUUCACGAGCUGACGCAGCUGCCGCAGCAGUGCAGCGCUCUGCAGAACAUGCACUUUGGCGCCGAGGUCGACGAGUCGGCCGGAACGCUGCGCUUCUCCUACACUCUCCAGCCAGGCCCGUGCGGACGCAGUUACGGCCUGUACGUCGCGUCGUUGGCGCACCUGCCAGAGUCCGUGAUUGCGUGCGCCAAGGUGAAAGUUGCGGAGUGGGAGACAUUUGAAAAAGAGGGCGCCUCGAAGAGCAGUGCUGGAGCGGCGCUCGACGAGGCGGUGGUGCGGAAGGUUUCGGCGUACGCCAAGCGCAUCCGUGAGCUGGAACAGCAGGGACUGGGCGACGAUCACGACGCGGCGGUGCAGCGGCUAAAGCUAGAGAUCCGGCAGGACGCAGAUGUCCGCCCGUAUCUGUGCGAGGUGGCGUAGUCGGCUAUUGACGGGCGCACUUCGAUGGUACGUGCAAUUGCCUUGUCUCCUCCUCCUCUCUCUCCUUCCAUGCUCAAUCGUGGGACUGCAUGCACUUUUCUGCGUAGAGGAAGGGCUGAGAAGGGGGAGGGGUUCUCAGCGGUGGUGGACGCACACACGCACGUUUUCCUUAUGUUUUCUUGCGAACGCAGAGACGCAUAGAGGAUCAUGCAUAGACAGGGCCUACUCUUGUUUCUAAGUAUACGAAGACUACGAAGCCCCUUUCCCUUUAUCGAUUUCAGUCGGAGGCGAGGAGGAAGAAGGGACGCUACUUGUCUCUCUGCAGGCAACACACGCACACACACAUGCUUGGUGUCCUCCCCCUACGCCCAUCACGAUCGCGGAGGCGGCGCAAUCCCUUGCUACCGCCUUUUCUUCCUCAAGCAGCAGUUGGCCCUUCGACGACUCGUGCGCGCAUCGUCGAUCAACGCGUCGGCGUCAGACGUGUUUGUCGUUCUUUGCUCUCGUGCAUUGCAAGUGCGUUAUCUUCUCGCUAUCCUUGUUUGUAUCCCGUAAAGCUGGCGGUUGUGGCGGCGAAGCAAUUUCAAAUGCGAGAAUAGGAUUCGUGGUGACGAAGUGCUCGUAUUCCGCACCGCCCCUCGUGUGUGAUGCGAUGAUGAUCGCUGUGAGUCCUUCUCGAAAAGAUGGUCUCCCCCCCUCUCUCUCUCUCGCAUGCGAGUGCUACUGCCUGGCCGGGCCUUUCCACCGUAGUGGCAGUCGUGUGCAGUGUUGGCCGAACGCGUAUAUGCGUGGGUGGCCGCGCGCUCAUGCGGAUGUGUGCUUACAGAGAGGCAUCUGCGGCCUCGCCCCUCUCGUUCUCUAUGGGCCGUGUGUCUCUCCCUCUUGAUGUGCACUUGUCCCACGUACAUCCCUGCUUGGCUAAAACGCCGCCACCUCUCUCCGUCUCCCUCACAUCCCCUCCCGUGUGCAACUGGAAACUUUUCCUGGUGUGUAUGAGUGUGUGUGCACGAGCUCCGCGGUGCUCUCCUCGUCGUUGGAAG
This 4097-nucleotide unclassified non-coding RNA is filed under the name Leishmania donovani. RNAcentral's name for it is "gene:LdHU3.33.0630(CDS-product:DNA_mismatch_repai r_protein_MSH2_putative)". Lineage: Eukaryota; Euglenozoa; Kinetoplastea; Trypanosomatida; Trypanosomatidae. The record is from RNAcentral.